AAUAGAUACCCGGGUAGUCCACGCCGUAAACGAUGAGUGCUAAGUGUUAGGGGGUUUCCGCCCCUUAGUGCUGCAGCUAACGCAUUAAGCACUCCGCCUGGGGAGUACGGUCGCAAGACUGAAACUCAAAGGAAUUGACGGGGGCCCGCACAAGCGGUGGAGCAUGUGGUUUAAUUCGAAGCAACGCGAAGAACCUUACCAGGUCUUGACAUCCCGCUGACCGGCCUAGAGAUAGGUCUUUCCCUUCGGGGACAGCGGUGACAGGUGGUGCAUGGUUGUCGUCAGCUCGUGUCGUGAGAUGUUGGGUUAAGUCCCGCAACGAGCGCAACCCUUGAUCUUAGUUGCCAGCAUUCAGUUGGGCACUCUAAGGUGACUGCCGGUGAUAAACCGGAGGAAGGUGGGGAUGACGUCAAAUCAUCAUGCCCCUUAUGACCUGGGCUACACACGUGCUACAAUGGACGGUACAGAGGGUCGCAACCCCGCGAGGGUGAGCUAAUCCCAUAAAACCGUUCUCAGUUCGGAUUGUAGGCUGCAACUCGCCUA
Molecule: ribosomal RNA, 543 nt
Filed under: uncultured bacterium
Lineage: Bacteria
Description: bacterial SSU rRNA
Rfam family: Bacterial small subunit ribosomal RNA
Source: RNAcentral